UACGUAGGGGGCUAGCGUUGUUCGGAAUUACUGGGCGUAAAGCGCACGUAGGCGGACCAGAAAGUUGGAGGUGAAAUCCCAGGGCUCAACCUUGGAACUGCCUUCAAAACUCCUGGUCUUGAGUUCGAGAGAGGUGAGUGGAAUUCCGAGUGUAGAGGUGAAAUUCGUAGAUAUUCGGAGGAACACCAGUGGCGAAGGCGGCUCACUGGCUCGAUACUGACGCUGAGGUGCGAAAGCGUGGGGAGCAAACAGG
This 253-nucleotide ribosomal RNA is filed under the name uncultured Paracoccaceae bacterium. RNAcentral's name for it is "uncultured Rhodobacteraceae bacterium partial 16S ribosomal RNA". It matches the Rfam family "Bacterial small subunit ribosomal RNA", at positions 524 to 776 of the family's 1533-position model. The record is from RNAcentral. Lineage: Bacteria; Pseudomonadati; Pseudomonadota; Alphaproteobacteria; Rhodobacterales; Paracoccaceae.